This 436-nucleotide unclassified non-coding RNA is filed under the name fungal sp. RNAcentral describes it as "partial internal transcribed spacer region". The stretch from base 1 to 46 matches the Rfam family "Eukaryotic small subunit ribosomal RNA", at positions 1786 to 1831 of the family's 1831-position model. Lineage: Eukaryota; Fungi. The record is from RNAcentral.
AAGUCGUAACAAGGUUUCCGUAGGUGAACCUGCGGAAGGAUCAUUAACACGUUUACCAAACUGUAUCAACCCCGUAUCAACCGUGCUCUGUUGUUUUGUGUUUUUCCUUUUUUUUCGAUUCUCUGUUUUCGAACUAAGAAAAGAAAAGAAGGAAAAAGGUAUGGUGUUCUCUUUGAGCGAUCGGAGAUCGAGCACUAUUCCUCAACCCCAUUUUUUAAACCUUUAUAAACCCCAUAACAACAUGCCCAUCGUGGUACUAAAUCUUGAGUCACCGAGGAAGCGGGAUUUGAAAUGACCUAAGAAAAGAAAACUUUUUUUUCAAAAAAGUGUUGCCUUCUUUUCUUGAUUUUCUCCUGCAUCAUUUCCGAGGAUCAUGACUUACUUUUACGGCUUAAACGCCACUGUACAACUCUUAGCAACGGAUAUCUUGGUUCUC